AAACCUGUCUCAGUUCGGAUUGGAGUCUGCAACCCGACUCCAUGAAGCUGGAUUCGCUAGUAAUCGCGCAUCAGCCACGGCGCGGUGAAUACGUUCCCGGGCCUUGUACACACCGCCCGUCAAGCCAUGGAAGCCGGGAGUGCCUGAAGUGCGUGACCGCAAGGAGCGUCCUAAGGCAAUACCGGUGACUGGGGCUAAGUCGUAACAAGGUAAC
RNAcentral lists this ribosomal RNA (214 nucleotides) under uncultured bacterium. Its description in RNAcentral is "partial 16S ribosomal RNA". It matches the Rfam family "Bacterial small subunit ribosomal RNA", at positions 1279 to 1500 of the family's 1533-position model. The record is from RNAcentral.